GUGAACGCUGGCGGCGUGCCUAACACAUGCAAGUCGAACGAUGAUAGAGAGCUUGCUCUCUUGAUUAGUGGCGCACGGGUGAGUAUACCAUAGAUAAUGUACCUCUUAGCUCGGGAUAGCCACUGGAAACGGUGAUUAAUACCGGAUACUCCUUCUUACUCUAAGGUAAGUCGGGAAAGUUUUUUCGCUAAGAGAUCAGUCUAUGUCCUAUCAGCUAGUUGGUGAGGUAAUGGCUCACCAAGGCUAUGACGGGUAUCUGGUUUGAGAGGAUGAUCAGACACACUGGAACUGAGACACGGUCCAGACUCCUACGGGAGGCAGCAGUGAGGAAUAUUGCACAAUGGAGGAAACUCUGAUGCAGCAACGCCGCGUGGAGGAUGACGCAUUUCGGUGUGUAAACCUCUUUUGAUUCGCCAUCGAGGCGAAUAGAAUAAGCGCCUACUAACUACGU
RNAcentral lists this ribosomal RNA (451 nucleotides) under uncultured bacterium. Its description in RNAcentral is "bacterial SSU rRNA". It matches the Rfam family "Bacterial small subunit ribosomal RNA", at positions 29 to 506 of the family's 1533-position model. The record is from RNAcentral.